This 66-nucleotide transfer RNA is filed under the name Takobia yixiani. RNAcentral's name for it is "tRNA-Ser". Lineage: Eukaryota; Metazoa; Arthropoda; Insecta; Ephemeroptera; Baetidae. The record is from RNAcentral.
AAGUGGGGAGAAUUCAACAAGAAGCUGCUAACUUUUAGUUAAGUGGUUAAAGUCCAUUUACACUUC